Molecule: non-coding RNA, 286 nt
Organism: Dermatophagoides farinae (American house dust mite)
Lineage: Eukaryota; Metazoa; Arthropoda; Arachnida; Sarcoptiformes; Pyroglyphidae
Source: RefSeq, a predicted model, not a curated record
CCCCCUUAAUAGUGAUAAAGAUUCAUUUUCUUGUCAUAAUUUUGUAUUGUAACAAAAAUAUGAUCAUAAAAUGUUAUUCGAAUUUGAUAUAGAAUUUGAAAGACGAACUGGUAAUCUUAAUGAAGUUGAAUUGGAAUCAUGGUCGAAAUAUGAUGAUAUUUUGGAAGCUAAUAAAAAUGAUGUUACAUUUAAUAAACGUUUGCAUAGUGAUGAUAAUGAUAAUGUCAAGGAAGGAAUUGCGCGCAAAUCAAUAUGCAAAAGAUGGAACAAAUUUGUCCUAUAUUUC